GCGUGCUCAGGGAGGGACAAAGGGUCGAACAUGUCAC
Molecule: non-coding RNA, 37 nt
Filed under: Geobacter sulfurreducens PCA
Lineage: Bacteria; Pseudomonadati; Thermodesulfobacteriota; Desulfuromonadia; Geobacterales; Geobacteraceae
Source: RNAcentral